This 971-nucleotide ribosomal RNA is filed under the name Lecanora flavopallida. RNAcentral describes it as "LSU rRNA". It matches the Rfam family "Eukaryotic large subunit ribosomal RNA", at positions 139 to 1405 of the family's 3401-position model. Lineage: Eukaryota; Fungi; Ascomycota; Lecanoromycetes; Lecanorales; Lecanoraceae. The record is from RNAcentral.
CGAGUUGUAAUUUGCAGAGGGUGCUUCGGGCGCGGCGCCGGUCUAAGUCCCUUGGAACAGGGCGUCAUAGAGGGUGAGAAUCCCGUCUGCGACCGGCGACCAAGCACGCGUGAAGCCCCUUCGACGAGUCGAGUUGUUUGGGAAUGCAGCUCAAAAUGGGUGGUAAAUUUCAUCUAAAGCUAAAUACCGGCCAGAGACCGAUAGCGCACAAGUAGAGUGAUCGAAAGAUGAAAAGCACUUUGGAAAGAGAGUUAAACAGUACGUGAAAUUGUUGAAAGGGAAGCGCUUGCGACCAGACCUGUCCGCGGGCGAUCAGCCUCUGUUCUCAGGGGUGCACUCGUCCGCGAUCAGGCCAGCAUCGGUUCGGGCGGCGGGACAAAGGCCUUGGGAACGUGGCCUCCCUCCGGGGAGGUGUUACAGCCCUCGGUGCCAUGCCGCCAGCCCGGACCGAGGACCGCGCUUCGGCUAGGAUGCUGGCGUAAUGGUCGUCAGCGACCCGUCUUGAAACACGGACCAAGGAGUCUAACAUCGACGCGAGUGUUUGGGUGUCAAACCCAUGCGCGGAAUGAAAGUGAACGGAGGUGAGAACCCUGAAGGGCGCAUCAUCGACCGAUCCUGAUGUCUUCGGAUGGAUUUGAGUAAGAGCGUCGCUGUUAGGACCCGAAAAAUGGUGAUCUAUGACUGAAUAGGGUGAAGCCAGAGGAAACUCUGGUGGAGGCUCGCAGCGGUUCUGACGUGCAAAUCGAUCGUCAAAUUUGGUUAUAGGGGCGAAAGACUAAUCCGCUUGCGACCAGACCUGUCCGCGGGCGAUCAGCCUCUGUUCUCAGGGGUGCACUCGUCCGCGAUCAGGCCAGCAUCGGUUCGGGCGGCGGGACAAAGGCCUUGGGAACGUGGCCUCCCUCCGGGGAGGUGUUACAGCCCUCGGUGCCAUGCCGCCAGCCCGGACCGAGGACCGCGCUUCGGCUAGGAUG